CACAUGCAAGUCGAACGGUAACAGGAAACAGCUUGCUGUUUCGCUGACGAGUGGCGGACGGGUGAGUAAUGUCUGGGAAACUGCCUGAUGGAGGGGGAUAACUACUGGAAACGGUAGCUAAUACCGCAUAACGUCGCAAGACCAAAGAGGGGGACCUUCGGGCCUCUUGCCAUCGGAUGUGCCCAGAUGGGAUUAGCUAGUAGGUGGGGUAACGGCUCACCUAGGCGACGAUCCCUAGCUGGUCUGAGAGGAUGACCAGCCACACUGGAACUGAGACACGGUCCAGACUCCUACGGGAGGCAGCAGUGGGGAAUAUUGCACAAUGGGCGCAAGCCUGAUGCAGCCAUGCCGCGUGUAUGAAGAAGGCCUUCGGGUUGUAAAGUACUUUCAGCGGGGAGGAAGGGAGUAAAGUUAAUACCUUUGCUCAUUGACGUUACCCGCAGAAGAAGCACCGGCUAACUCCGUGCCAGCAGCCGCGGUAAUACGGAGGGUGCAAGCGUUAAUCGGAAUUACUGGGCGUAAAGCGCACGCAGGCGGUUUGUUAAGUCAGAUGUGAAAUCCCCGGGCUCAACCUGGGAACUGCAUCUGAUACUGGCAAGCUUGAGUCUCGUAGAGGGGGGUAGAAUUCCAGGUGUAGCGGUGAAAUGCGUAGAGAUCUGGAGGAAUACCGGUGGCGAAGGCGGCCCCCUGGACGAAGACUGACGCUCAGGUGCGAAAGCGUGGGGAGCAAACAGGAUUAGAUACCCUGGUAGUCCACGCCGUAAACGAUGUCGACUUGGAGGUUGUGCCCUUGAGGCGUGGCUUCCGGAGCUAACGCGUUAAGUCGACCGCCUGGGGAGUACGGCCGCAAGGUUAAAACUCAAAUGAAUUGACGGGGGCCCGCACAAGCGGUGGAGCAUGUGGUUUAAUUCGAUGCAACGCGAAGAACCUUACCUGGUCUUGACAUCCACGGAAGUUUUCAGAGAUGAGAAUGUGCCUUCGGGAACCGUGAGACAGGUGCUGCAUGGCUGUCGUCAGCUCGUGUUGUGAAAUGUUGGGUUAAGUCCCGCAACGAGCGCAACCCUUAUCCUUUGUUGCCAGCGGUCCGGCCGGGAACUCAAAGGAGACUGCCAGUGAUAAACUGGAGGAAGGUGGGGAUGACGUCAAGUCAUCAUGGCCCUUACGACCAGGGCUACACACGUGCUACAAUGGCGCAUACAAAGAGAAGCGACCUCGCGAGAGCAAGCGGACCUCAUAAAGUGCGUCGUAGUCCGGAUUGGAGUCUGCAACUCGACUCCAUGAAGUCGGAAUCGCUAGUAAUCGUGGAUCAGAAUGCCACGGUGAAUACGUUCCCGGGCCUUGUACACACCGCCCGUCACACCAUGGGAGUGGGUUGCAAAAGAAGUAGGUAGCUUAACCUUCGGGAGGGCGCUUACCACUUUGUGAUUCAUGACUGGGGUGAAGUCGUAACAAGGUAACCGUAGGGGAACCUGCGGUUGGAUCACCUCCUUACCUUAAAGAAGC
This 1503-nucleotide ribosomal RNA is filed under the name Escherichia coli. RNAcentral's name for it is "bacterial SSU rRNA". It matches the Rfam family "Bacterial small subunit ribosomal RNA". Lineage: Bacteria; Pseudomonadati; Pseudomonadota; Gammaproteobacteria; Enterobacterales; Enterobacteriaceae. The record is from RNAcentral.